This 440-nucleotide ribosomal RNA is filed under the name uncultured bacterium. RNAcentral describes it as "partial 16S ribosomal RNA". It matches the Rfam family "Bacterial small subunit ribosomal RNA", at positions 338 to 795 of the family's 1533-position model. The record is from RNAcentral.
CCUACGGGAGGCAGCAGUAGGGGAUAUUGCUCAAUGGGGGAAACCCUGAUGCAGCAACGCCGCGUGGGUGAUGAAGUUUUUCGGUUUGUAAACUCCUUUUAGCAGGGAAGAUAAUGACGGUGCUUGAAUAGGAAGCCCCGGCUAACUACGUCCCAGCAGCCGCGGUAAUACGUAGGGGGCAAGCGUUAUCCGGAAUUACUGGGGGUAAAGGGUGAGUAGGCGGCAUGGUAGGCAUGAUGUGAAAGCCUUGGGCGUAACCCGCGGAUUGCAUUUGGAACUAUCAAGCUAGAGUACAGGAGAGGAAAGCGGAAUUCCUAGUGUAGCGGUGAAAUGCGUAGAUAUUAGGAAGAACACCAGUGGCGAAGGCGGCUUUCUGGACUGAAACUGACGCUGAGGCACGAAAGCGUGGGGAGCGAACAGGAUUAGAUACCCGUGUAGUC